GACGAACCGUGCGAACGUUAUUCGGAAUCACUGGGCUUAAAGCGCGUGUAGGCGGAUGGGGACGUCGGUUGCUGAAAUCCCCCGGCUCAACCGGGGAACGGGCACCGAAACGCCCCGUCUGGAGGGACGUAGGGGGACCUGGAACUUCCGGUGGAGCGGUGAAAUGCGUUGAGAUCGGAAGGAACGCCAGUGGCGAAAGCGGCUUCCUGGUCCAGCACCGACGUUCAGGCACGAAAGCGUGGGGAGCAAACAGG
Molecule: ribosomal RNA, 254 nt
Filed under: uncultured bacterium
Lineage: Bacteria
Description: partial 16S ribosomal RNA
Rfam family: Bacterial small subunit ribosomal RNA
Source: RNAcentral